CCCAUGUCCCUGCCUGGGGCCAGCUGCUCUCAGCCCCCACCGCUGCCUGCCGAGGUCGUGCCCCCAGAGCCGGGAGAACAAAGCGGGGUGCUGACUGUGGGGAUGCGGUGCCCCACACACUAGCCACUGCCCCCAGCCACGCCGCGGCUGAGCCCAUGUUCACCGCCAGUGGGUGCUCAGCAUCUGUCGAAUGACUGACGUGCGGACAGCACGUGGACCAGCGGACAAAAGAGUGGAUGAUGAACGAAGGAGGACUCAACAGAAAACUCAACGAACGGCCCACCUCCCUGAAGCGGCCCGUGAACAGGAGCCUCACUGUCCUCUCUCUGCCCAUGCAGCCAUGGCGUCUGCUCCCUGCACACUCUCCCCUCCUUUGUCAGUCUCUCUCGCACGGGAGAUUUGAAGAAGCCUGGAGUAAAUGUCUUUGUCUCAC
This is a long non-coding RNA of Equus caballus (horse), 433 nucleotides long. RefSeq lists it as uncharacterized. NCBI's taxonomy places the organism in Eukaryota, Metazoa, Chordata, Mammalia, Perissodactyla, Equidae. The record is from RefSeq and is a predicted model, not a curated record.